RNAcentral lists this ribosomal RNA (1146 nucleotides) under Triticum aestivum (bread wheat). RNAcentral's name for it is "partial small subunit ribosomal RNA". The record is from RNAcentral. Lineage: Eukaryota; Viridiplantae; Streptophyta; Magnoliopsida; Poales; Poaceae.
GCCGCCGACCGCUACUUCGCCGCCCUUGAAGGCCCUGAGCUCGAGACCCUUCGGCCAGCAGAGGUAGCGGUGCUGCCCAAUGGCGAGCCCUGGCCGUUUCUCCUCCGAUUUCCGAUCAGUGCGUUCGGAAUGUGUCUCGGCGUGAGCAGCCAGGCAAUGUUGUGGAAGACUCUUUCGUCAGAGCACUCCACGGGGUUCCUCGGCGUGCACCCCGCCGUCAACCGCGUCCUCUGGUGGGCCUCCGUCGCCCUCACCGUCAUUGUAUCCAUCACGUACCUACUCAAGGUUGUGUUCUACUUCGAGGCCGUCCGCCGCGAGUUCCACCAUCCGGUCCGCGUCAACUUCUUUUUUGCACCCUGGAUCGCUUGCCUCUUCCUCGUCAAGGGCUUGCCCCGCCCCGAGAGGGAGAUCAGACACAUCGUCUGGUACCUCCUCAUGACACCCAUCCUCUGCCUCGAUCUCAAGAUCUAUGGCCAAUGGAUGUCCAGCGGCGAGCGCCGGCUCUCGAAGGUGGCCAACCCGUCGAACCACCUCGCCGUUGUUGGCAACUUUGUGGGAGCACUACUCGGUGCCAAGAUGGGCCUCCGUGAGUUGCCCAUCUUUUUCUUUGCCGUCGGGCUCGCUCACUACCUCGUGCUCUUUGUUACCCUCUACCAAAGGCUCCCCACCAGCAUGCAGCUUGCCAAGGAGCUCCAUCCUAUCUUCUUCUUCUUCGUCACCGUACCCAGUGUCGCCUCUAUGGCCUGGGCGAGGAUCUCUGGCGAGUUCGGCCACGGCCCCAAGCUUCUUUACUUCGUUUCACUCUUUCUCUAUGCAUCCUUGGUGGUACGCAUCAACCUGUUCAGGGGGGUUCGGUUCUCACUGACAUGGUGGGCCUACACGUUCCCGCUAACGAGCGCCGCGCUGGCCACUGUGUUGUAUGCAUCGGAGGUGGACAACAUGCUGACCCGAGCAUUGGCGGUCGGGCUGGCAGGGAUCGCCACCGUCACGGUCAUUGGAGUCAUGGUCAGCACCGUAUACCAUGCGUUCGUGAGUAAGGACAUCUUCCCCAAUGAUGUCUGCAUCGCGAUCACAAGGCAGAGGCCCAAGUUCAACAAGAUCCUUGCACACCUCUGCUUGUCCAGCACCGAUGAGGCCACCAUUUAG